This 544-nucleotide ribosomal RNA is filed under the name Mycena pura. Its description in RNAcentral is "eukaryotic LSU rRNA". It matches the Rfam family "Eukaryotic large subunit ribosomal RNA", at positions 77 to 621 of the family's 3401-position model. Lineage: Eukaryota; Fungi; Basidiomycota; Agaricomycetes; Agaricales; Mycenaceae. The record is from RNAcentral.
CCCCUAGUAACUGCGAGUGAAGCGGGAAAAGCUCAAAUUUAAAAUCUGGCGGUUUCACCGUCCGAGUUGUAAUUUAGAGAAGUGUUAUCCGCGCUGGACCGUGUACAAGUCUCCUGGAAUGGAGCGUCAUAGAGGGUGAGAAUCCCGUCUUUGACACGGACUACCAGGGCAUUGUGAUAUGCUCUCAAAGAGUCGAGUUGUUUGGGAUUGCAGCUCAAAAUGGGUGGUAAAUUCCAUCUAAAGCUAAAUAUUGGGGAGAGACCGAUAGCGAACAAGUACCGUGAGGGAAAGAUGAAAAGAACUUUGGAAAGAGAGUUAAACAGUACGUGAAAUUGCUGAAAGGGAAACGCUUGAAGUCAGUCGCGUCGUUCAGGAUUCAGCUUUAGCAUCUGCUAUGUGCAUUUCCUGUUUGACGGGUCAGCAUCAGUUUUGGCCGGUGGAUAAAGGUUCAGAGAAUGUGGCAUCUUCGGAUGUGUUAUAGCUCUGGGUCGCAUACAUCGGCUGGGACUGAGGAACUCAGCACGCCGCAAGGCCAGGUUCGACC